UACGUAGGGUGCAAGCGUUGUCCGGAAUUAUUGGGCGUAAAAGAGCUCGUAGGCGGUUUUGUUGCGUCGGCUGUGAAAUCCCCGAGGCUCAACCUCGGGUCUGCAGUCGAUACGAGCAAAACUAGAGUGUUGCAGGGGAGACUGGAAUUCCUGGUGUAGCGGUGAAAUGCGCAGAUAUCAGGAGGAACACCGAUGGCGAAGGCAGGUCUCUGGGCAUUAAACUGACGUGAGGAAGCGAA
This 239-nucleotide ribosomal RNA is filed under the name uncultured bacterium. Its description in RNAcentral is "partial 16S ribosomal RNA". It matches the Rfam family "Bacterial small subunit ribosomal RNA", at positions 524 to 757 of the family's 1533-position model. The record is from RNAcentral.